Molecule: RNA transcript, 654 nt
Organism: Cercocebus atys (sooty mangabey)
Lineage: Eukaryota; Metazoa; Chordata; Mammalia; Primates; Cercopithecidae
Gene name: ubiquitin-conjugating enzyme E2 C pseudogene
Exons: 1
Source: RefSeq, a predicted model, not a curated record
UAGCCUCCCAAAACUUUGACCCAGUCGCUGUCAGUGUUGCCACCACCCAUAAAGGAGCUGAGCCCAGCAGGAGCAUUGCCUGGGACCCUGUAGGCAAAAGGCUACAGCAGGAGCUGGUGACCCUCACAAUGCCUGGUGACAAAAGAAUUUCUGCCUGCCCUGAAAGCCUUAUCAAAUGGAGACUAUCCAUGGAGCUGCUGGCACAGUGUAUGAAGACCUGAGGUAUAAACUCUUGCUAGAGUUCCUCAGUGACUACCCACCCUUACAAUGCACCCAUGGUGAAGUUCCUCACACCCUGCUACCACCCUAACAUGAACACCCAGGGUAACAUAUGCCUGGAAAUCCUGAAGGAGAAGUGGUCUGCCCUGUAUGAUAUCAGGACCAUCCUGCUCUCUAUCCAGUGCCUGCUGGAACCCAACAUUAAUAGCCCUUUAAACACACAUGCUACCAAGCUCUGGGAAACCCCACAGCUUUAAGAAGUACUUGCAAGGGCCGGGCGCGUUGGCUCACGACUAAUCCCAGCACUUUGGGAGGCCGAGGUGGGAGGAUCACCUGAGGUAGAUAGAGAGUCCAAGGCCUGAUAAACAUGGAGAAACCUCAUCUCUAUUUAAAAAAAUUAAAAAUUGGCCAAGCGUGGUAGCAUGUGCCUGUAAU